RNAcentral lists this long non-coding RNA (558 nucleotides) under Marmota monax (woodchuck). The record is from RNAcentral. Lineage: Eukaryota; Metazoa; Chordata; Mammalia; Rodentia; Sciuridae.
GUGUGAUACAAACCAAGUCUUCAAGAAAAAAAAAAACAAAACUGGAACCAACAUAAAAAAUUUAAAUAUAUUUACACUUAUGUAUACUAAUAAUUAGAAGAUAUCUGUAGAAGAAACUGUAUUAUGCUAUUCAUGAACAUUCUACAGGCCAUGGACUGAAAUUCUGGCAGGAAAUUUCAAGUUCUGUUAAUCUUGAAGGGAAGUAUUUCCUGGAAUUGGCACAACAAAUAAGUGAUUUAAGAAGUGAAGAUAACAUGAGUUUUGGAUACUAAAAUGGGCUCCACCAUUGAGAUCUUCUGAGCUUAAUCGGGGCUGUGUCUGUGGUUUGAAGUUCUCAGCGGCAGCCUCUUAACAACAAUACAGACACACUGUGUACAUUCAGCAGGGACAGAGGACGCCCAUAGAGGAAUAGUCUACCUGCUACAGUGUGGGGUUACAAAGUUACCACCUGCUGCAGUGUGGUGGUUACAAUGUUACUGUGUGGCACACAAAGUAACAGAGUUUCAUAGAUUGGGGGUGCCUGGGGUCUUUAUGGCAUUUCUCUAUGGGGAGGUGGUG